Drosophila mauritiana is the source of this 1515-nucleotide long non-coding RNA. RefSeq lists it as uncharacterized. Lineage: Eukaryota; Metazoa; Arthropoda; Insecta; Diptera; Drosophilidae. The transcript has 3 exons. The record is from RefSeq and is a predicted model, not a curated record.
GGAGCAGUUCGGAUCUCCUCUCACACACACCGUUGUCCUAACACAGAUACUUGUACAGAUUCUACAUAGAUACGUGUAGGUUCACAAACAUAAAUACAAUACAGUAACAAGUGCAUUGGUGAUUUAAAUGCCUAUGUGUACCUACGGAUCACGAACAGUCGGCGAAGGCGGGCAGAUCGAAGAUGGCCACACAAUACAUAUACUCGUACGUGAGUCAAGAUAAUUUUCGGUGCCAGUGAUGUUAACCUAGAUAUUUUUACGCUAACAUGCGGGUAAAUUUUUGUCCUCGGCUUUACGAUAUUAUUUUUAAGCAAAAAACGCAAAAGCUAUUGGCAACACUCUCGGAUUCAAUCUUUAUUUUCGCUAUCUCCUUCCCAUUUGUGGUUUUUGAGAGGCUAAGGCUACGCACUUAUGAAUUAAUAUUGAAUAUGGAAUAUCCAUAUAUGUAUAUGUGAAUACAUUAAAAUAUAAACAUGUAUUUUUACGAUGGAUUUAUCUAUUAUUGCCUUGCCCUUGCGAAGAGCAUUCUUAAUCAAAACAUACAUAACUGUUUUAUAUUCUAUCAAGACUGUUUUGGUAAGGUUCCAAAGUCCUUCUUUUUUCCAAUGUUAUUGGUAUAUUUAGUAUACUAGUUUCAAUAAAUAUUAUAUAAUAUUCAUAGAGUAGUAUACUCUAUAAUCUAAGAGCAAAAAUGGAUACUAAGUCAAAAAUUAAAAAGUUCCCAACCCCAUUAAGUAUGUGGUAAUAGCAAUGUUGAUGCUUAAAUAAAUGUUUCUUCUGACAGCGCUUAAACACUUGUUUAUAACUUUUAAAAUUAAUAUUUCGAUUGCCACACUUCGCCCCUUGGUUCUGUAUUCAACAACACUGUCUCGAACCAAAUUUGCUUUUAUAGUUUCCGAGACGAGAGAAUGUACGGACAUAACUAGAUUGAUUCGGCUAGGGUCAAUCAAUUGCAUUUAUCUGAUAUACAGCUUUAAUCUAAAAGACAUUUUGCGGUCUAUAAAGUAUUUGGCCCAUCAUUUAAGGAGUUGGUGUUUUUGAAGAAAUAAACUCUAUAUAUAUGUAAUCCCAAAAAGACGUAUUUUGGAAACCUCCGAGGGUUUUAUAAUUUGUGAUCGUUAGAACUUCUUAGUUAUGCCGUGUACCCAAUGACUUUAUUAUCCUCUCCUCUUUGGUUCAGUAAAAAUUUUAAAGGCUUAAUUAGUCAGCGGUUCGAUGCCGAAAAGGGUGGAGAACGUUUGGUUAAAGCGGUAUGCUCGCACACUUGUGUAUACAUAUGUGUAUACACACAUUGGUCAGUGUUUAUAUCAUAUAUCUACGUAUAUAUACAUAUGUACGUACAUAUAUACAUUCAAGCCGUUAACGUAUAAUGUCUUCUUGAAUCCAGUUUCUUUUUCGAUUAAGACGGAGCAAGCAGGCAGAUUGAAGCAUCAUCAUUAGCAAGAAACUGAGCUGAGAAGACCUUUGGAAUAAUGUUGUCCGACGAAGACAAAAAUACAUACAAAUUUGUACAAA